Non-coding RNA from Fusarium irregulare, 89 nucleotides. Lineage: Eukaryota; Fungi; Ascomycota; Sordariomycetes; Hypocreales; Nectriaceae. The record is from the annotation of a GenBank genome assembly.
GGUCGUGUAGUGUAGCGGUUAUCACGUCAGCUUUACAUCUAGAUGUAUACACGCGCUGAAUGUCGUCAGUUCGAACCUGGCCACGAUCA